This is an RNA transcript of Tribolium madens (black flour beetle), 4303 nucleotides long. It is a transcript of the gene named F-box/LRR-repeat protein fbxl-1-like, with no coding region annotated. The transcript has 8 exons. NCBI's taxonomy places the organism in Eukaryota, Metazoa, Arthropoda, Insecta, Coleoptera, Tenebrionidae. The record is from RefSeq and is a predicted model, not a curated record.
AGUUAAAAGUAUAAAGAUAACAAAGAAUAACAUUUUUAUUUUGUGCAAACGUCAAAUUUGAUGGUUUGCAAAUUCGGUCAAAUGAGAGUUGUCACUUUCCACCGCCAUAUUGUAAAAAUAUCUCAGUGUUGUCUCUGGAAACUUGACGAAUUUCUCCCCAUUAAUUAAUUACUAAUCGAUUAAUUAAUGUUAUUCGCCACGUGUGUGUCUCCACACCCCGUUUCGUCGCCCCUCCAAACCCCCGAGACCGUUUCCUAACAUUGCAAGUGAGACCAAAAAUGGAGCAAGAGAACCAGCAUCCAGAGGGACCCCCACGAAAGAAAGCCCGAUUUCACGUCGGCCAAAACUUGACUUCACUACCAUACGAUAUUUUAGUAAAUAUUUUCAAACAUUUGGACCUCAAAACCAUCGGAGUUUGUGCUACAUUGUGUUCAACUUUUAAUAAUGUAUCCAAGGACAGCUCGCUGUACCAAAAAGUGACCCUAAAGUACAACAUGAACAAAGAAUUUCUAGAAUCGUUUGUUUCUAAGAUUUCAUAUCCCAAAGAACUGUGUAUAGAGUAUAAAUAUUUUGAUAACCAUUCUGAUAAUGAAGACUACUCAGAGUUCGAUAAAUACGUCCGAAUCGCCCUCACCAAGUGCGGCGAGUAUGUGCAAUCCCUCAAAAUCGACAGCUGUCGCAACGACGACAUCCUCCUCCUCCUCUCCGAAUGCACAAACCUCAAAGAACUCACCCUUUACCGCUGCAAGAGCUCUUUCCAAACCCUCACCUCUAUAUCAACCCUCAAAACCAUCAAAUGCAUUUCGUGUCAUUUCCCCCAAAAAAUCGCAAGCGAAGUCAUCAAAAACAACCCCACCCUCCGGAAACUACACUUAUCCGAUAACACGAAUGUCAACGUGAACGAAAUUUGCGAAAACCUCUCGCGAUCGAAUGAGCAAAUGCGCGAAAUUUAUUUCAGCGAGCGAAAGAAACUCCGCGCGAAAAGCCUGAGGACGUUGGGUCGCUUGACGAAACUCAGGAGUCUGGCGUUGGUCUCGGGGACGGGGUUUGAGUGUGAUCCCGAGGAUUCGCUCGAACAGAUCGCAGCAGGGUGCUCAAAAUUGGAGAGACUUAUCAUCUAUGGGUGGAAAGAGAUAAAUGAUGAUAAUUUAGUCCCCAUUUUGCACAUGUGUACACAAUUAAGAGAGUUGGAUCUCAGAGGGUUGAAUAUUACGAUUAGGAGUUGUCGAGAGGCAGCGCUUGCGUUACCCUUUCUUAGGCUAAUGGACGUGAUCAAAUGUCAUCGGGUCAAAAAGUCACAGCUCGCCAAACUUAAACAGGAUUUCUCAGAAAUCGAUAUUCCGUUAGAAUAAUCCAUUUUUUGCUUUUACAUUUUAUAUUUAUUGAUAGCAUUUUCAUUUGUUGUUUAUUUCAUUUAAUUUAAGUUGGUGUUAAAAGUGGGACGUUUCAUUUGGCCACGCCUCCCAUUGACACGCCCACUUUUUAUUGUAUUAAACCCAAGUGUUGCAAACAGAUCGAUGCAGCCGCCGCCUUGGCCUCCUUUUUAUUGGGACUGGCGACAUUUGGCUUAUACUCAACCCCAUUUAACGUCACCUGAAACAUAAGCAACGGUUGACACGCCCCCUUCUUGUCUCCCURACCUUAAAUAGGAAAUUUUUCUUAUGGUCAGGUCCACACUCGAAACACAAAUCAUACUGUGGCGCCCCCAGUUUCUUCUUAGACGCGUAUUCCCCCAAAAGUGAUACAGGGUGUUUAUUUUGUAGCGUGUAAGUAUUCCACUGGGCUUGUCCUUGUUUCUUCUUCUUCUUCUGCUCUUCAUUGGCUACUAGCCCCUUCUUGUCUAGCUUAACCUCCAGGAGGAGGGGCUCCAAAGCCCCUGUUUUCUCCUUCCCUAAACCUUCGCCCGGRUUCCAGCCCAUUUUCUGGAGGAGGUGCAUUCCCAUCCCUCCCGAAACGGGCGUGGCCGUCGUCAGUUGAUCCUAGACAAGAUCUACGUCUCACUAUCCUUCUCACUCAAAAAUCCUCCUCAAUAAACAACUACUCACCGACAUACGUUACAUUACCCCCACUUACCACAAACGAACGUUACCGAAGACACGCGACCUCCGCACGGCCAACCUUGAUUUACUAGUAACCUGACACAAGCCUGAAACAAAUUCUCAGGUGGCGAAAUAUUCCGGACGUGACGCCAUAUUYMAAAAAUGGCGACAUGUCCGGUACAACAGGCACAGAUUCCAUCUCUUUUUGAAAGGAAAGAAAUGGUCUGUGCCUGAAUGCCGACCGGAUUUGGAUCAACAGAUCCGGACCUGAAAAUUUGUUUAAGGCAUUCGGGGGAAUUUAGGACCGGACUCAGGGGGGUAAAUUGUACCUUUUUAGCCCACGCUUGGUAACCUGAUGAUAAUUCCGCUUGGGACAAAACUUGGGCACCUGUACUACCCGUGAAUUGACCCGGUUGUUGCUUACUUUGAGCCCACGAUUGCAUCUAUAACGAAUUUUUCACACGAAUUGCAUACAACAUAUUUUCUACUACCUCUUUAUUCGACUUGUACAUCUGAGUUAAAGCUUGGACGUCGUUUGGGUUCUCUUGUAAUUUACGAAUCGCGGUGAGCCGUUGCGAAACAAUUGAACCAAUAUCCACAGCCGUCUAUAAUUACAAUAUUACAAUAAUUUUUUUUUGAUAAGUUUGGCACUUACGGGGUCUGAAUUUGGUAGGGGGAAUAUUUGGGGUCCUGGAACCUCUUUGGGUUCUUUAGGCGGAGCCUCAACCGGCUUAGGUACCACUUCCGGUUUUUUUGGCGACACAGGAACCCACUCACUUUCCGUUUUCCGGUGCAAUUGUCCACUACUUACAGGAAAUUGUAAUCUCAACUCACUUGUCCGUUCCUGUGUCGACUUGAUCGGCAACGGAACCGAAUUCUGCAACCAAAAAAAAWUAAUCGAAGCCACGCCCACCAAACUCCACCCACUUUAAUAUUCAUCGUAAUGGAAGUAGGCCGAUCUUUYAUCUGAAACGGAUGAUGAAACGGCUUAUCAUUAUCACUAUCACUCCCUCCUCCCUCCGAAUUACUCGACAACUCCCCCAAAGCCUCCUGUUUCGAUAAAGUUUUACAGAAAUCUGUAAGUUCUUCGAUUGUUUUCCCGCCGGCUUUGAUCGCGGCGAUCACUUUUUCUUGUGCCUGGGGGCCGAGAGUAAGGGCUCCGGGUAAGCUCCCGGACUUCAUCAUUUGAAUGGCAUUCUUCCGGGCGAUUUCUAGCAGUUUCUUUUUGUCGAUAUGGGAGGAGUCACGRGAGGAGGAGCGAUCGCGUCGUGGGCGGUCCCGUCUGUAGCGGUCACGCCCCCAAAAAUCGUCGUCUUUGUAGAAUGGGUUGUCGCGACCGUUUCGUCUCUCGCGGCUUCGGACACGCCUAUCGCGACUGCGACUGCGACUACGACUCCGCCUACGAUUCUCAUGACUGCCUUUGAUUUUGUUCCUCAAGUCGUCGAUUUUCAAUUGAAGCUCUUUUUCCUCGCUCAAUUUCGAUCUAAUUUCUUCCUUCUUCUUUUUUCGGUCCUUAUCGUGGUGAUCGCUUUUAUGUUUACGUUUCUUCGAUUUCUUCUCGUCGUUUGAGUCGCURUGGACUUCCCCUUCUUCCAGUUUCUUCGCUUUCUUCUCACUUUCUUUCUUGGUGUCGACUUUCUCCUGUUUUAUGGCAAGAUUGAGACUCAAGUCGGUCCCUUCAAUGCGAAUUUUUUGCUCCGAGGAUUCUUUCUCUUGUUUGAUCAAAAUUUCGGCCAAAUCAAUCUCAGACUUGUCACUGGAGGAACUUUCGUGUUUCUUCUUCUUAUCUUUCUUUUUGUGUUUCUUGUCUUUGUGUUUGUGUUUCUUUUUACUUUUUUUGCUUUUUUUACUAGGAGGCGAGUCAGAUUUCUCCUUUUUUAUUAUUAGAGGGGGCUCAGCGUCGAAACUUUCAAACAGUUCGGAGAGAAUCUCCAUUGAAGACUUCACAGGGGCGUCGAUGACCGGCUUCUGGUCCUCCGACGCCAUUAUCACACCAAAUCAUCAAAAAUCCCAUAAACAACACUCACUUAAGUCAAAAAACACCCAAAACACGUUUUUGUUGUUAAACAAUUUCGUAGUGUCAACUGUCAAAAUUGCCAGGACAAGGCCACCAACCCACUUCAAAUUCACCGAAUUUAAUCAAAUUUUGCAAAUUUGACUAUUUAUUUAAUUUUUUUACUAUUUAUUUACAUUUAUCACAACUCGAAUUGRGCUAUUAUUGUACAAUUAACCGUGCCUGUAUUUUUAAUGGCUAAAAUUGMCUU